GCUUGGUGCUGGCAUCCAGGUCUGCAGGCCUAGAGCGUGAGGGGGAACUGCCAGUCUCUGGAAAUACUCUUUUCAAGGACAGUCUAUUUCACGCCGACACGUGUGGUCAUGGCGUUCCUCCGAGCCCAGGACCUUUAGAUCACCUGUCUCUCAGUUGCCUCUGACUCUCAGAACCUAUUUGCGAAUCUCCAGGUCCUUCCAAAUUUAAUUCCUCUGUCUAACUUUGCUGUCGGAGAGUACCGGAUCCCCAGCAGCACAUUCUGAAAUAGCAACUUUUUCUGAAGUCCUAUAUACGGGAGAUUCUAGCUACAGAAUUAAACUUGUCCUCAGGGCUUUCCACACGUGAGUGUUUAAGUUCUGGCUUGUGUCUGAAGCCUUCCUUCUGUGAAAAGCUUUUCUUCUGGCGGAGCCACAAGCAAGAAACAGUCUCAGAGCCUGCCGACGCCAGCCCCUUCAUCUGACUGGUCAGCACUGGGCUCUGUGUGCACACCUGUGGCAGUGACCUGUCAUUACCAAAAACCAUUUAAUGUGUGAAGGUAAGAAGUUGUAUGCCCCUGUGCUUGGCAAACAUUUGAAGCAACAACCAAAUCACCAUGAACAAUGGUGGAAAUUAGGUUGUGGUGCAUUCACUAACUCUCACUUAAAUGCUGUGCCCGCACGGAUUCCUGCAGCGCUCACACACUUGACCUCUCCCUGUCUCUAUAGGCAUUUGGAAAUGGAAAGGCUUCUGAUAACACAUGUCUCAAGAAGUACUGCCAGCUAGUUGCCUGCAGACUCACGAUAAAGUAUUCACCUUGAUAAUUUGCUAGGAGUUGGGUAUCAGUCUUCCCACUAGAAAUCUUAUCCAUCCAUUGCUUGAUGAUUGGUUGAUGUUUGGCGGACACAGAACGGACUCCUCCCUCAGGGGCAGACUCAUCUGAACCAAGCUCACAGGAACUGAUAAGCACAAACCAGGAUGCCAAUCCGUGAAUUUACUGUGAAUUGUCAAGUCAUCCAGAAGACGAGAAGGCUUAUAUCAGCAACGUGGCGCAUCCCCCCCCCCACCCAGAGCCGUGGCAAGUUCAAGCAUAGCCAGAAUCACCAGUGUGUCCAUUCUGUUCAUAUCCAGUAAGAAAUACAACUGUAAAGCUGAUAUAGUCUUAAUCUUCCCCUCCUCCCACUUUCUCUCUCUCCUUCUCUCUCUCUCAACUUGUUCCGUGGGGAGCCAAUUUACCCAAAGGUGAGGAUGUUAUCACGACAUUGGCAAUGAAUCAAUCCUAAGGAGCAUCUCUCUACCGCGAGGUGAAUGCCCUCUCACCACCAGAGGGACAGUGUGCCAUGGAAAUGGAAACACUUCAGGCUGUUGGACGGAGAGUACCACCCCCUGGGUGGAACUUGCAUAGGUGUCACCACCCUCAGCCUGCCCCCCACUCUGCUUUGUCUUUGUUUCCAUGGCGAGCAGGUCCAGUUCUGACUGGCCCGCUCAGCCAGACACAGUCAUUUGUAAGGGGCCUGGAGUCAUUCCAUCUCCUUAAGGAUAUGUGGCUUAUCUCUCCUGUGAUGUACUGAUUUUGGAGGCUGAUCUAUCGUGGGUGUGUUGAACGAGAACAGUUCUUGGGAUGGACUCCUCAAGCAGCUUUCUUCUGUCCCGACCAUCUUCUUAAAUCCGCUCUGGGCCAGUUCUUCUCCAGUCCCUGGAAGGAAUGUGAAACAAUCCCAUGCAGUUUCUGUUCACUCUCUGGGAAUGAAAGUAACAAGUUAUCAUCUCACUCCUGUCAGAAAAAUAUCCAGCUUUAUAUAAUGCUUGAAACUCUAGGUUUGGUUUAAAAUUGAGUCUCCCAUCCCUCCAGCUCGUGAGUUUAAGACAGAGGAGGGGCUUGACUGGCUUCUCCGUGCGUUAGUCAGCUCAGGCUGCUAUAACAGAAUGCCAGAGACCUGGUGGUUCAAACAACACACAUUUGUUUCUCACGGUUCUGUAGGCUGGGAAGUCCAAGAUCAAGGUGCUGGCCAGCCCAGAUCCUGGUGAGGACUGUCUUCCUGGCUUGCAGAAAAUUGCUUCCUUGCUGUGUCCUCACAGGGUGGAGAGAGAGAGGUCUCUUUAGGGUCUCUUAUAAGGGCACUAAUCGUAUUGGAUCAGGACUCCACCCUUAUGACCUCGUUUAACCUUAAUUAUUUCCUUAAAGCCCCAUCUCAAAUUCAGCUACAUUGGGGGUUGGGGCCUCAAUAUGUCAAUCUGGGGGGACACAGUUCAGUCCACAGCACUCACUUUUAUCACUUGUGUUUCCUCCCCUUCCUCUCCUGUGCUCAGUUUCUUUCCCAUGAAUAGGGGGAGAGAGGAGAAUCCAGGAAGCAGGACCACGUGUACUCGCGUGAAGCUGGCAUGAGCCUUCAGCGCACUCUCGGGCCCGGCAGUGUGUGAAUCCGAUUCCUUCUGUUGGGGAAAUGUUUGUCAAUUCUUGGGAGACCUUCUUCAUACAGUUGCUACGCUGUCCUCCUGCUCAACGCUUGUGGCUCUUUCCUUAACCCUUAAGAAUUCCAGGGCUGGCCUCCCGCCGCUUCCGUGCAGUCCCUUCUCCCCCGCGACAGCCCCCUUGCACAGACUGAGUGCUUGAUUCCACACCAGCUCUCGCUCCAGGGUGGGCCAUUAUGGUCACUGCAAACCCUCAGGCUUCCUUUUACUUUCUUCCUUUUGCAUCCCAAACUCUGAGAAAACGGGCCAGUCACAACACAGUACCAAAACCCUCUUUGCUCCUGCAGUCAGAACAGCUCCCACUUUUAGUUUCCCAGGCAGGGGUCAGAAUCCGUCCCCCUGCUCCCUGCUAAUCCACAGAGGACUUAUUCUAGCUUUCUGAGGAGUGUCCCUGAAGCCCUUCUCUCUUGACCUGAGGGAAGGGGAAUUAGCCCCCUGCCACCCUCCAGUCCUCCCUUCUCUGACAGACCUGGUGAAUUGGUCCCUAGCAUCAGUCCCAGCCUCUUUUCUGGUGUGCUUUCCUGCACCGCGAAAUUGAAAAUGAUCAUUUUCAGACUCUCUUGCAGUUAGGUUCUGGAUGCAGAAAAGGUGCUGCCGAUGGAUGGCACUUGAAGAGGAUUUGAAAGGCAGAACGGAGAAGGCGGGUGGGGGGAGGAAGCUUUCCAAUGCACGCAAGGCUGGCAGAUGGAGAUGGCUUUUCUGUGUCCAUGAUCCGCGUCCAACCAUUGUGCUCAUGGACAUCGAGGGGCAGUUGUGUCAGUGGUGACAGAGGUUUCCUUAUCUCUGGGUCACAGCUCUGGUGGUGAGAUGUUGAUGUCAGCAGUGCUGGAGCUCCAUGCUGGUCUCCUGACCCCUCCCCUCUAGGUAGCAACCAGAGCAGCAGCUCCCCUGGAGGCCUAUUCAGUGGUCCCGUUCCCAAACUCACUUCUGGAGGCCUGGCCUGCGAUAUACUCCUCCAGCCUUUCCAAAACUUUCUAAGUACAAAAUUCCUUGAAAUAAUGCUCAUCUGAUUAAAAUAUCUAGAAUGGUUUCUGCUCCCUGCAAAUGAUGCCUGAUGAUACACCUCCCCUUGGGAAGGGAGUGGAGUGAAGCUCGGGGCACAUCAACAACCAGGCUGCAACCUCCCUUUGGACAUCCCGUUGUGAACUCCCGGAGGCAGGCCUCGUUUCCAGCCGGGCCGAGCUCUUCCAGAGCUGCUGUGUCCUUGUCAUGCUCCAUCACGUGAAAAGGGCCCACUGUGCUUGGAACAGCGCAGUUCCCUAAGAAGGAAGAUGAUCUCUUCAUCUAUAUAUUUUUACAUACUCAAGAACCUAUCCAGUGUUUUAUUUACUUGACUAAUGACAUUCCCAACUGAAAAGCACUGACCCAGUCCCUUGACUCAUCUUUGAACUGGCCUCAGGAGCAGGCAGAGAGGUGGAAAACCUUCAGCAGCCUGAGACGAGCAGUUUCUCUCCAGAAUAUUCACUCCACCGACUACCACUGCAUCCCAGAGGGAUGGAUUCUUGGCUUGGUUUCGUUCACUGACAAAAUGCAGACAGCCCAGUCAUGUGAAAGUUGAGCCUCUGGCCCAGAAGCCCUCACCCGAGCUCAUCCUGACCUGUCUUCGGAGCAGGUUUUGACGAAAGGAAGCAGAGAGAACACAAGGGCCGUGGCCAGCAGCACGGAGGAAUGUGUGUGGCCUCCCUCCCCUCCCCCAAGCCACCCCACAUAAAAUAAGAGAAAUAUUGUUUGAGAUCUGCAUCGCCGCUCUUCCCCAGGGCCCCACGGCCCAGCCUGGCAGAAGCCCUGUCUCUCACUGAGGCCGUGCCUGCAGACUCCUUCUGUCCCCACGGGCUGCAAACCCUGCUCUCGGUGGAGCUCAGAACAAUCGUUUUAAAAUGCAAAUCAAAUCCAGCCCCGCCCUGGUUUACGACCCCUCCGCUGGCUCCCCACUGUGACGGAACAAGGUAGAAUCCCUGUGCGAGCCGCUGGCCUUCACACACCUCACCUCGGAGACCCGCCAGGCUGCCCGACUCAGGCCCCGCCCGGCUUCCCUCACCUGCGGGCUCGCCCCCCACCCCGCCCAGCCGUGUUCCCUCACCAGCUCCUUCUCUUAAUUCCCCUCAACGUCUCCCCAAGGUGCCUUCACUGACCGACUUGCCGAAGUGCUCCCUCCUUAUUCUCCUUGACGGCUUCCUAUUCCUGUCCUUUUAAUAAUUAUUAGACCCUGUGCUUGCUUGUUUAUUGUCUCCCUCUGCCAGCUGACUGAAAACUCCACGUGGGCAUGGACCACGAGAGCUGGCAUCGCGAAUGCCCAGUUCAGGGACCUGCCAAAGCCCCAGAGGUCUUUGCUUGACCAAACUUGAGUCAGACUCCGGAAGCUUCUCCUGGGCCCAUCUGUGCAAUUCCCUGUAAAGCCCAGUUUUCGCAAGAACCCUGCUACGUCGGUUUCACCUGAACCCCCCUCGAUAUCUGACCAACCUCAGUAUCUGAGCAGGGUCCGUACCCUCCGCCAUCCUCCCUGUGACACCCUCCCGCCUGUCUCCAGUAAGAACCCUGGGAGGUCGGUUUAGCCCAACCCCCUCCCUCUGAGGUUUCCUCCUAAUUAUUUUUCCCCCCACUGACCCCCACCUGCUUCUCGGCUAUAAACCCUCACUUCCCACGCUGUAUUCAAAGUUGAGCCCAGUCUCUCGUCCCCACUGAAAAUUCUGUCCCAGUGGUCCCCACCCAUCAUGGUGGUCCUGAAUAAAGUCUGCC
RNAcentral lists this long non-coding RNA (5185 nucleotides) under Equus caballus (horse). Its description in RNAcentral is "lncRNA (ENSECAG00000044384.1)". The record is from RNAcentral. Lineage: Eukaryota; Metazoa; Chordata; Mammalia; Perissodactyla; Equidae.